UACGUAGGGUGCGAGCGUUAAUCGGAAUUACUGGGCGUAAAGCGUGCGCAGGCGGUUUUCCAAGACAGAUGUGAAAUCCCCGGGCUCAACCUGGGAAUGGCAUUUGUGACUGGGAGGCUAGAGUGUGUCAGAGGGGGGUAGAAUUCCACGUGUAGCAGUGAAAUGCAUAGAGAUGUGGAGGAAUACCGAUGGCGAAGGCAGCCCCCUGGGAUAACACUGACGCUCAUGCACGAAAGCGUGGGGAGCAAACAGG
Molecule: ribosomal RNA, 253 nt
Filed under: uncultured bacterium
Lineage: Bacteria
Description: partial 16S ribosomal RNA
Rfam family: Bacterial small subunit ribosomal RNA
Source: RNAcentral